ACGAACGCUGGCGGCGUGCUUAACACAUGCAAGUCGAACGGAAAGGCCCCUUUGGGGGUACUCGAGUGGCGAACGGGUGAGUAACACGUGAGUAACCUGCCCUUGACUUCGGGAUAACUUCAGGAAACUGGGGCUAAUACCGGAUAGGAAUCCUUGCUGCAUGGUGGGGGUUGGAAAGCUUCGGCGGUUUUGGAUGGACUCGCGGCUUAUCAGCUUGUUGGUGGGGUAGUGGCUUACCAAGGCUUUGACGGGUAGCCGGCCUGAGAGGGCGACCGGCCACAUUGGGACUGAGAUACGGCCCAGACUCCUACGGGAGGCAGCAGUGGGGAAUAUUGCACAAUGGGCGGAGGCCUGAUGCAGCAACGCCGCGUGCGGGAGGACGGCCUUCGGGUUGUAAACCGCUUUCAGCAGGGGCGAAGCUUGUGGUGACGGUACCUGCAGAAGAAGCACCGGCUAACUACGUG
RNAcentral lists this ribosomal RNA (464 nucleotides) under uncultured bacterium. RNAcentral's name for it is "partial 16S ribosomal RNA". It matches the Rfam family "Bacterial small subunit ribosomal RNA", at positions 29 to 507 of the family's 1533-position model. The record is from RNAcentral.